Saccostrea cuccullata (small rock oyster) is the source of this 993-nucleotide long non-coding RNA. RefSeq lists it as uncharacterized. The transcript has 5 exons. The record is from RefSeq and is a predicted model, not a curated record. NCBI's taxonomy places the organism in Eukaryota, Metazoa, Mollusca, Bivalvia, Ostreida, Ostreidae.
GAUAUCACUUAUUCGAAUAGGUGAUAUCACCUAUUCAGCACGAAUAGGUGAUAUCACUUAUUCGAAUAGGUAAUAUCACCUAUUCAAAUUAUUUAUGAAAUAACAACAGCUCCCUAGGUCCCUCAAUGUACUUUCACUUUCGUUUUCGUCACGUGACUUGCGACUUCCGUGUAUGGAGUUGUGUUUUGAGUUAAGCAUGUUUUUGGUUUAUACACAGCUUUCGAGGAAAAGUUAAGUAGUUUUACAAAGCAGAAGGGUUCUCCGACUUACGAUGGAUGAAUUGCGUGUCAUAAAAGCUUGGGUGCGAGUGUCCACGAGGAAAAUUUCGAUCAAAGUACAGGUUUUUCCUUAAUCCGAGGACGGCUGAUGUUAUUGUCAGCUGAUUAUAUUUAUAGAGGAGGAAUUUUGUCUGUGCCUGAUGGAAGUCCAAGAGAACCGGGCUGAGUAAGACAGAUGCGAGAUGCAGCUGCUUUAAGCAGUACCUAAGACUAAACUGACUUUGAUCAAGAUUCUUCAAAAUGCAAAUCAAAUACAGGUUAUUGUCUGCACAUCUUGCAAUGGAUUGUUUUGAUUGAGAACUUAUCCAGCAUGAAGACCAGCCAUGUACCUCACCUUUCAGGACAUUAUUAAAGUACUUUGUGACAGUGGGAAGAUGAAAUUAAACAUGACAUGGCUCUAUAUCACUGCAUCAUGUCAAUCCAGGUUUACUUAUAAACGGAAUGAAAACAGUCAAGCAUCAUUUGGAAUUGGAGCUACAUAUGUCACCGCCUUAACAAUAUGCCUGCUUACAUAACCAAGAAAGCACAGUGACCAUGCAGUUGUACCUAUGAUGUAGGACGAGAUCCUGAGAAAACUUUCAGUGCACUCAUCACUACCUGCAAAGAAAUUAAAAUUUUAAAUGACUUGUAUUAACCCUUUUGUAUUUCAUCUGGCUUGUAUUUUAGUACUCAUAGCCUUUAGCUUCCUUCAAACAAAAUUUCACCAGUACCAACU